Molecule: ribosomal RNA, 253 nt
Filed under: uncultured bacterium
Lineage: Bacteria
Description: partial 16S ribosomal RNA
Rfam family: Bacterial small subunit ribosomal RNA
Source: RNAcentral
UACAGGGGGGGCAAGCGUUGUUCGGAAUUACUGGGCGUAAAGGGCUCGUAGGCGGCCAGCUAAGUCCGACGUGAAAUCCCCAGGCUUAACCUGGGAACUGCGUCGGAUACUGGCGGGCUUGAAUCCGGGAGAGGGAUGCGGAAUUCCAGGUGUAGCGGUGAAAUGCGUAGAUAUCUGGAGGAACACCGGUGGCGAAGGCGGCAUCCUGGACCGGCAUUGACGCUGAAUAGCGAAAGCCAGGGGAGCAAACGGG